RNAcentral lists this ribosomal RNA (505 nucleotides) under uncultured bacterium. RNAcentral describes it as "partial 16S ribosomal RNA". It matches the Rfam family "Bacterial small subunit ribosomal RNA", at positions 28 to 507 of the family's 1533-position model. The record is from RNAcentral.
GACGAACGCUGGCGGCGUGCCUAAUACAUGCAAGUAGAACGCACAGUUUAUACCGUAGCUUGCUACACCAUAGACUGUGAGUUGCGAACGGGUGAGUAACGCGUAGGUAACCUGCCUGGUAGCGGGGGAUAACUAUUGGAAACGAUAGCUAAUACCGCAUAAUAUUGAUUAUUGCAUGAUAAUUGAUUGAAAGAUGCUAUUGCAUCACUACCAGAUGGACCUGCGUUGUAUUAGCUAGUAGGUGAGGUAACGGCUCACCUAGGCGACGAUACAUAGCCGACCUGGGAGGGUGAUCGGCCAAACUGGGACUGAGACACGGCCCAGACUCCUACGGGAGGCAGCAGUAGGGAAACUUCGGCAAUGGACGAAAGUCUGACCGAGCAACGCCGCGUGAGGGAAGAAGGUUUUCGGAUCGUAAAGCUCUGUUGUAAGGGAAGAACGGGUGUGAGAGUGGAAAGUUCACACUGUGACGGUAUCUUACCAGAAAGGGACGGCUAACUACGUG